AUUUACUGGGUAUCUACUAUAUGUCAAGCACUGUUUAGGUCCUGGGGAUAUGUCAGUGAACUGAACGAAAGAGCAGAGUCCCUGCUGUGUGGCGUCCACAUGUGCUGACAUCUGCUGGGUAAGAGGCACAGGGGAGGGAAUACAGAGCAGAUGGUUGCAAAUGCUGUGGGGAAAAAGCAGAGUGAGGGAGGCGGGGAGUGCUGAGGACAAUGGUAGUGGGGGUCCGGGGAGGCUUCUCAAUGGGGAAGUUUGAGCAGUGAGGGAUACCUAGGGGAAGAGCUCCAGGCAGAUAGAUCCUGAUGCAGGAGCAUGCCUGGAGCAGUCAAGGAACAAGAUCACACUGAGGAUGUGGUAUUUGAGCAGAGACCUGAAAAGAGUGAAAGAAUGAAUCAUGUCCAUAGGGAAGAACAUUCCAGGCAGAGGGAACAACAAAAGUACAAAGGUUCUCAGGUAGAACUUUGAGGGAACAACAAAGGAGACCAGGAGGCCUGGGGAACAAUGAGUAAGGCAGAGAGGGAACAGAGGCUUGUAGGCCACUGUGCGGACUUUGGCGUUUAGUCUGAGCUGGGGACCCACUGGAGGAUUCUGAGCAGAGCAGUGACAUGAUUGCGCUUACAUUUUUAAGACUUACUCUGGCUGCUGUGUUGAGAACAGAUGACCAUGGGGCAUAGACAGAAGCAGAAAGGUUGGCUGGAGGAAACGGAGAGAAAAUUUACAUCUGGUGGAGCAUAAAGAAACCAGCUAGAGGACUGGCCUUGUCAUUAUCUAACUGUGUUGUGACGAACUGGCACUUCCUCAUCUCUAAAAGCAGGGCCCUGAACUAGAAGACCGCCACGUCACAUGAUGAAAAACACUCAAACUAACACUUCUUACCCUUGUGAGCAGCCCUACUAGCAGAUUUAAUGUGGGAGGAGGUUCACACUACGGGAUAAAAAUCAAGUUUUAGGAUUCCAUUUUAUCUAAGCUGACCACCACAAGGCAGAGGAUCAAGACUUAGCUAAAUACAGCCCUCAGGCAAGCUUCACUUCCCCAUCUGUGAAGGGAGAAUAAAUACACAUGUUAAGAUAAAUGAGAGAGCUGGUCAAGUGUUUCGAGCUCUUUGGCAGACAAGCCUGACUUUCCAAAAAAAGACAAACCACAACUUCGGAGCCAGUGCUAUUUCUUCUGUGCAUGGUGAGGUGACUUCCCCAGUUGUAAAGGAUUUAGAGCUGAAAUUCCAUAUUGUCUGGAGCUAUAAUUACAAGUCUCUUGCACUAAAACAGAGGUCAGCUGGCCUAAAGCAUGCUGAAAGAAGGUAAAUGUCUGGUCACAUUUCCAUGUGGUAUACUCCUUUCCUAACUUUUUGGCACAAAUUUCAUGUUGAUAGAACAUUCAUUCACUCCACAAAUAUCUGGCAAGUAGGUGCUGAGUGCUGUGUAUAGACGAGUGAACACAACACAGACCCUGCCCUCAUUCUGUGUAGAGGACAGCAGAGGAGUAGGCACAGGGCUCUCAGCUAGGGCAGUACCACCCUAUGUCUGGGGGGCAUUUCGGACAUUUGGGAGGUGCUGUCAAUUGCCAAAAUGAAUGGGGAAACUCUGCUAGCAUUUAAGGGUGGGAGCCGUGGUGCCACAAUGACCUGUAUGAGGAAAACCAGCUCCAGGCCCGCAUGACUAGUGAGUGUACUGCUAGACAUUCAUAAACAUGAAAAACUCUUUUGUGGGAAAACAGCCUGUUGCAUAGCAAGAGUGAUCCAUCUUGAAGUAAAACUGCCAUGAUGACCAAUGUUUGACGCCUACAAUUCAAGGUGGUCCAGUAGCACAGAUAAGCCCUCACAACCUCCCCGUGGUCAUGAGUUUCUAAAGGAAGUCAGGGAUGAUGAGCUUCCUGUGUCUUUACCCUAAAAGCUUGCUAUAUAAAGGAUACUUUCUGGAGGUUGGUUGUGAGAAUCCACCAUCUCUUGGCCUACCUAGACAUCGUUUCUGUUUCUAAGUCUCUAUUAAAUAUUUCUUUCUGAGAAACUGGAUUUGUCAGUCUCUU
This 2019-nucleotide long non-coding RNA is filed under the name Homo sapiens (human). RNAcentral's name for it is "non-protein coding lnc-PIGF-1:2". The record is from RNAcentral. Lineage: Eukaryota; Metazoa; Chordata; Mammalia; Primates; Hominidae.